This is a long non-coding RNA of Nyctereutes procyonoides (raccoon dog), 288 nucleotides long. RefSeq lists it as uncharacterized. Lineage: Eukaryota; Metazoa; Chordata; Mammalia; Carnivora; Canidae. The transcript has 2 exons. The record is from RefSeq and is a predicted model, not a curated record.
GUGCCCAGUAAGAGGCCAGGUAGGAGCGCCGGUCCCGCGCUCGGCGAGUGAGGGCUGUUCCCGUCUUGGCGGAGCACAAGCAGGAGGUGCAUCAGGCAGAGGGAGAAGCAGGCUCCCAGCUGAGCCAGGAGCCCAAUACGGAACUCAACUCCAGGACCCUGGGAUGAUGACCUGAGCCAAAGGCAGAUACUUAACCAACUGAGCCACCCAGGCACCCAAUCCCCCCUCCUCUUCAUGUCAAAAUGUUAAGGGUGGCUUUUAGAAAAGUCUAAUAAAAUCUGACAUGUA